GAGAAUCAUAUAUCUAUACUGAUGAAGAACGCAGCAAAAUGCGUUAU
RNAcentral lists this ribosomal RNA (47 nucleotides) under Panagrolaimus sp. JB115. RNAcentral's name for it is "partial 5.8S ribosomal RNA". Lineage: Eukaryota; Metazoa; Nematoda; Chromadorea; Rhabditida; Panagrolaimidae. The record is from RNAcentral.